AGAGUUUGAUCAUGGCUCAGAACGAACGCUGGCGGCGUGGAUAAGACAUGCAAGUCGAGCGGGAUUUUCUUUGGUAGCAAUACCGAAGGAAAUUCAGCGGCGAACGGGUGCGUAACACGUGGGCAAUCUGUCUUAAAGUGGGGGAUAGCUCGGCGAAAGCCGAAUUAAUACCGCAUGUGAUCAGGGAAGACAUCUUUCCGAAAUCAAAGGUGGCGCAAGCUACCGCUUUUUGAGGGGCCCGCGGCCUAUCAGCUUGUUGGUGAGGUAACGGCUCACCAAGGCGUUGACGGGUAGCUGGUCUGAGAGGACGACCAGUCACACUGGGACUGAGACACGGCCCAGACACCUACGGGUGGCAGCAGUCGAGAAUUUUUGACAAUGGGGGAAACCCUGAUCGAGCGACGCCGCGUGGAGGAUGAAGGUCUUCGGGUUGUAAACUCCUGUCAUUUGGGAACAAGGCGUAGGUAUUAACUGUGCCUACGUUGAUAGUACCAGAAGAGGAAGAGACGGCUAACUCUGUGCCAGCAGCCGCGGUAAUACAGAGGUCUCAAGCGUUGUUCGGAUUCAUUGGGCGUAAAGGGUGUGUAGGUGGCGCGCUAAGUCGGGUGUGAAAUUUCGGAGCUUAACUCCGAAACUGCAUUCGAUACUGGCGUGCUUGAGGACUGGAGAGGAGACUGGAAUUUACGGUGUAGCAGUGAAAUGCGUAGAUAUCGUAAGGAAGACCAGUGGCGAAGGCGGGUCUCUGGACAGUUCCUGACACUGAGACACGAAGGCCAGGGGAGCAAACGGGAUUAGAUACCCUAGUAGUCC
RNAcentral lists this ribosomal RNA (810 nucleotides) under uncultured bacterium. RNAcentral's name for it is "bacterial SSU rRNA". It matches the Rfam family "Bacterial small subunit ribosomal RNA", at positions 8 to 796 of the family's 1533-position model. The record is from RNAcentral.